RNAcentral lists this ribosomal RNA (427 nucleotides) under uncultured prokaryote. RNAcentral describes it as "bacterial SSU rRNA". It matches the Rfam family "Bacterial small subunit ribosomal RNA", at positions 355 to 796 of the family's 1533-position model. The record is from RNAcentral.
UGGGGAAUUUUCCGCAAUGGGCGCAAGCCUGACGGAGCAAUACCGCGUGAGGGAGGAAGGCUUUUGGGUUGUAAACCUCUUUUCUCAAGGAAGAACAAAAUGACGGUACUUGAGGAAUCAGCAUCGGCUAACUCCGUGCCAGCAGCCGCGGUAAUACGAAGGGGGCUAGCGUUGUUCGGAAUUACUGGGCGUAAAGCGCGCGUAGGCGGGUCAUUAAGUCAGGGGUGAAAUCCCGGGGCUCAACCUCGGAAUUGCCUCUGAUACUGGUGACCUCGAGUCCGAGGGAGGUGAGUGGAACUCCGAGUGUAGAGGUGAAAUUCGUAGAUAUUCGGAAGAACACCAGUGGCGAAGGCGGCUCACUGGCUCGGUACUGACGCUGAGGUGCGAAAGCGUGGGGAGCAAACAGGAUUAGAUACCCGCGUAGUCC